RNAcentral lists this ribosomal RNA (433 nucleotides) under uncultured bacterium. RNAcentral's name for it is "partial 16S ribosomal RNA". It matches the Rfam family "Bacterial small subunit ribosomal RNA", at positions 29 to 507 of the family's 1533-position model. The record is from RNAcentral.
AAUGAACGCUGGCGGCAUGCCUAACACAUGCAAGUCGAACGAAGGCUUCGGCCUUAGUGGCGCACGGGUGCGUAACGCGUGGGAAUCUGCCCCUUGGUUCGGAAUAACAGUUAGAAAUGACUGCUAAUACCGGCUGAUGACGUAAGUCCAAAGAUUUAUCGCCGAGGGAUGAGCCCGCGUAGGAUUAGCUAGUUGGUGUGGUAAGAGCGCACCAAGGCGACGAUCCUUAGCUGGUCUGAGAGGAUGAUCAGCCACACUGGGACUGAGACACGGCCCAGACUCCUACGGGAGGCAGCAGUGGGGAAUAUUGGACAAUGGGCGAAAGCCUGAGCCAGCAAUGCCGCGUGAGUGAUGAAGGCCUUAGGGUUGUAAAGCUCUUUUACCCGGGAUGAUAAUGACAGUACCGGGAGAAUAAGCACCGGCUAACUCCGUG